This is an RNA transcript of Phyllopteryx taeniolatus (common seadragon), 6455 nucleotides long. It is a transcript of the gene named interleukin 17 receptor C, with no coding region annotated. The record is from RefSeq and is a predicted model, not a curated record. NCBI's taxonomy places the organism in Eukaryota, Metazoa, Chordata, Actinopteri, Syngnathiformes, Syngnathidae. The transcript has 16 exons.
CUUACACUGUUUAAAGAGAGAGAGAGAGAGAGCGAGAGAGAGAGAGAGGGUGUGAUGACUCUUGUGUUAUUUUCCCAUGACUAAUCCACCCAACUUGUCGAGUGUGAAGGUAGCUGAAUCCACUGCUCGGAGUGUAUUAUUUGACAUGGGUUACAAAAGAAUUGAAGUGAAACCAAGCAAGUGGAGAUUUCUUUUGACUCUGCACCAUCUUGCUGUUCAUUUCUAACCUCAAGUCACGCGGUGGAAAACAAUGCGGGCCUCUUUCAACACCGUGACACACCCAACGCAACCACAUGUGAAGAAAAAUGCUUCGGAGACUCUUCAUGUUUACUCUUGAAGCAAAAUGUUUCUUUUUCGUUGGCCUGUUUGCUGUUUUUUACUAGCAUUUCAUAAAUCGGCCUACGUUUGGGCGGGAUAUGACGUCUCAGAAGUCACAUGUUCGCAGGGUCUCUCUGAGUGCACCGUGGCGGAUGAGAUGCCGCUCGGCAUCUCGGAGAGUGAUGGUGCUGAUGUGCAGAUGGUGACAGCUAAAGUGGAGGUGUGCUGCAAGGACAACGCGCCGUGCACGUUGUGUCUGCUGGUAGACGCCGAACUCUCCAUCCAUGUGGGUGAAGACGUGGAUAAAAGCCACUCAGGGCACGACACGGAGAAUGACAGAGAGGAGGCAACAAUUUCGACAGCAGCGUCUGUGACGUUAUGUUACAAAACACCGCCGACUUUUCCAGCAUGCAAGAGGGUGGACUUCACUGUCUGUCCUACAGAACUUAAGCAGAAAGUGGCAAAGGUGUCCUUGGUGAUUACUAAUCCAGCUGGGGUUUCCUUCAGCAGUAUUGUGUACAUUUAUCCUUCGAAAGCGUUGCAUCUAAUUGAAGUCGUGGCUCCCUCUCUAAAUGAAGUGUGCUCCCAAAACCUGCAGAAAUCCAUCAAAGACUGUUACAUGCCCACAGUCAACAGUGUAAUUAACCAAGAAAUGAACCAAGUGGAGCUGAAAUUUGCUGCAAGGCACAAAGUAUGCAUCCAGUAUGAGGCAGAUGGAAGAUGCCAGAGUUGGGAGAGUAAAACCAUCCCACUGCACUCUGUGACCCCCUGCUUGUGUCUCCAGGUUUGGGAUGAUGACAAGCCCAGACGCUCUCAGAGCUGCCCCUUCAAAAACAUGGGUUUCCUUCAGAAGAACGUAUGGCAGAACCUGACCGCCUCUGUGCGCCACGGUCGAAUGAACAACAAGGGUCAAAUGCUGCUGUGGAACUUGUCCGCCCCAUGCAGGCUGGAGGGGGAGGUGUGGCCCUGUCGGUGGACUUCGGGUCACCAUUGCACUGAAAUUGAGGGUUUCCGGCAGCAGCUGGAGAAUACGACAUGGGAGCAAAACAGUAACGUGCAAUGGGUCAAAAUGGGUGUUUUUGAAGACAUUAAUCUGCAGCUGUCACCGUGUGUGAUGGUGAAUUUAAGGGGCGGGGGCCUUCACCUCGGGCCUUUCUGCUCUCAUCACAUCAUUGCAGCCGCAAGGUGGCGCUGGAAUCUGCUUGCUGUGGCUGUUUUGCUGGUGAUCGCCUUGGCAGCACUGAUGUCAUGUCUUCGUCAUGACUUUGUCAAGAAAUGGGCGAGCCACUCUUUCCGUGGAGGAUGUGCAGAGAUUGGCAGGAAAGGUCACGUGGUGCUCCUGAGUCCCCCAGAUAUUCACGAUGGUUUUUCUGAGGUUUGUGGCCUGGGCUCCCUGCUGAAGAGCCAGGGCUUCAGUGUGUCUGUGGACCAGUGGAGCAGGAUGGAGCAGUGCAACCUGGGGCCCCUGCCGUGGCUUCACUCCCAGCUGCUGCACGUGAAGAACCUGGGAGGCCGCGCGGUGCUCAUCUUGACUCGCAAAGCCUUGGGGCUGGCGCACGAGUGGAGCCGGCAGCAGCCGGAAGCUCUCCAGGCGGGGAGAGGAGACGGGAACGUGCCUCAGUCGCCGUACUCGGAUGUGUUCAUGGCCUCGCUGUGCCUCCUCCUGGUGGACAAGCGGCAAGGGAGGACUGGAGAACGUUUUCUCCUGGUCACGUUUGACCAGGACGUGGUGCAGCCUCCUGGUAGCUUACCAGAGCCGUUUCAGGGCCUUCAUUUGUUCCAGCUUCCCUCACAGAUGAAAACUCUGUUGUGUGAACUCGCCGGGGGAGGAAACAGGAAGGUAGACGGUGGAAAGUCAAAGGCCGGCUGGAAAUGGGGAAUCUUGGAUGGAUGGAAAUUAAAGACUAAACAUACAACAUGCAGCCAGGGAGCAAUACCUACACAGUGUAAAUAAUCUGGAAUUUAGAGAUCAUGUUGAACAUUUGUUGCACUGUGGAAGGAAGAGACAUAACAAAGGGUAAGAAAUGUCAUGAGAAUAUGACUGAAAUGUUAUUUUACUGGUGUUCUUUAUUUACUGGAUUGUCAUAGUUGGAUGGUAAAUGAUCUCGUAGGAUUAACAAAAACAGCAGUUAUCGUUAUAUCACAGCAAUGGAGGGUCGCACAUUUUGUUAGCCCAAAAGCAUAAGUUAUUAAGUUAUUUUUUAGCUUACUGUCAAGAUAGUAAUUAAAACAAGAUAAGGUGGUUGCUAAAAAUGUAUUUAUUUUUUUUCUUUAAUUGCAUGGCGCAAAUAGUAGAAUUUAGAUCUGUCCAAAUAUGAGAUCCAAUACAAGAACAGUACAUGCGACUAGUUUGGUAUAAAAAUAAUGAUUGAUAAUACCGAGUCACGUUACGGACUUAAUGAGGAUAACGGAGCUUGUUGACAGAAAGAAAGUCACUUUUAUUUGAUGGAUAGAAACAAGCUGGCCAACACUCAAUAGUAAUAUUCGGUUACAGCACACACAAUAGCAAGCUGGGGCGCACAGGACAGCCUCCUAGCUUGAAAAACAGGAAACAUUUAAGAGGAUCCAUGCUUCUGGCAAAACUUCCCCCACAGUUUUUCUUUUAUAGGUUCAUCCUUUAAUAGAUUGUUUCACAUCACUUUUCCUCUUGUAUUUUAACACACACACACACACACACACACACACACACACACGCUCAUUGCCUUAAAAUAAUAAAUGCCCCCACACACGCUGUGUUUCUGAAUAACAUUUACACCAGCAACCCCAAAACACAUGCUGCACUCUCACAAAUCUGAACAGGCUGUUUACUAAAGGGUGGAUUGGGGUGGGGGUCACAGUUAAAUGAGACGCACAUCACUCUCAAACACUGACAUCACACCGCCACGAUGCAAGGGUAAGGAAUGAUGCUCCACGUUCACACAAGUAAUCAUUCAGCAUGCUGGACACUCACAUUGAACUUGCUCCUAUAGGUCAGUACUGUACAGCUCAGAACAAUUUACUUUUACAAAUAGUACAGUCUCCAACUGGCAUCUGCAACAAGCGGAAACGAUAGAAAAAAAAUAAAGCUAACUUAAUACAAAAAUGAAUAUAAAAACAAAUUUUUUUUUUCUGGCAUUGAUCACAGUGAUUUGUUCAAUAUAAGGUUUUUGUACAGUUAAAAAAACAAACAAAGUGAAAGUGUUUUAAGCUCUGUAUAGUUCCCCCCCUCCCCCCCCAAAGUCAUGGAAAUAUCACGCACACAGCAUUAGUCAAUGUUUGACCUCGCUGUGGAGGCAUCUGGCUGCACAGAGAACAGCACAUAAUGUAAACAAAAAAAUACAAUAAAAUAAUAAUAAUAAAUCAGCACAAAUGGGCACGUUUGAAAUGCAAAUGAUAUAUUUCAUGGUAGGAGAAGCCCCUACUUCAAGUAUUCAGUGGAUAAGGACCUGAAAAGGGAGGCUUCAUACUCAGCCCUCCUGAUGGUAAAGUGAGAGGAUUUCAUUUAUUGAUGGAUUUUUCUUUAUUUUUGAAAUUAUUAUUAUUAUUAUUUUUUGCUCCUCUGUCUGUUUGUAUUGUCUUACUCUAUAAAACAAAACCUUAUCAUGAUCAUACUGCUGAUAAUUGUAAACACAAACACAAUCUGGAGAUUCUUGAAGCUUCAUGUAGAAAGCAGAUGAUGCCUUAGUUGUGGAAGGUUGGAAAAAUACACGUAUAUUUAUAUAUAUUUAUGUAUAUAUUCACCAACCAACACUUGGCCAAUACUGAGGAGACAUCAUGUGAGGAAGAGGGGGGGGGGGGGGGGGGGGGGGGCGACGAAAUGGAGGAGUUUAGUAACAGUCGAAUUCAGUUUCCACUAAACUGAAACGUGUCAUAUAUCACCACUUGUGUAUACAGGACGACAACACAAGAAAAGCCACGAAAAAGAAAAUGAAGAUCCUGACAGAGUCACUCCGCACGUGUUCAUAGUGAUAUCUUCACUCACAAGUGCAAGUUCUAAACGGGCAGCACACAUCAUUGCUUUAAUGGAAGUUGCUAAAGUUUAUUUUUUUUCUUCCUCUGAUUUGUCACAACGGGCCAACUAAGUGUGAACGCAGAGGUUUUCAAAGUGUGGAACAGUGAACCUCCCUUAUUUUAAAAACGCCGUCUCAAGGCAAAACCUCAUUGCAAGGUCUUGUGAGAUUUCAAACCAGGGAAUUAUUAUUAUUAUUUGUUUUUUAGAUGAUUCCAGUAAUUCAUCACUGCACACUAUGCAGUGCUACAUUUUUGGCAUCUCAACAUCGUUAUGUACAGUUUGUAAGUCAUUUUAAUAUCUUGCCAAGACUGCCAUCAUUAACAAAGUGAUUUUCUGGAACCAAUUUUGAGUUUAUUGCUUCCCACAAUCUCCUCGCUCUGUAGAUGCAAAAAAAUCAAAAAAAAUCAAUUCUGCUUCUCGCUGAAGUUAGCGUUGCAGGUUUCAAAAUAUAUUGUUUUUCUUUAUUUCUCUCAAGCUGCUGCGCAUCCCCUGAAGUACUUUAGCUCACACUUUGAAAACCUCUGGACUAAGCUGGAGGAAGGAAUGUAAUAUUGGAAAAAGGAAUGUACAUUUAUUUUCUACAAAGAUUUAGAUGAGCGUUAUUCUUUCUUUCUUUCUUUUUUGCGCUGUAUGUCUGUAUUUUCAGACAGGGAAUGUUAGUCUCUAAGGAUUUUUCUCCAGAUGUACAAAAGACACUUAACAUACUUCACAACCCCACCAUUCAGUUAGAAAAAAAAGAAACAGCAUUUUCUUUUUUAAAUCUCGUCAGUUUGAAACUAAUUUAUAACCACAUAUAGACACACUCGAUAUAUUUCUCUCUAUGUAUAAUAUAUGCAUAUCUAUAAUAUAUGUGUACAUUUUUAUUUCGAUUUUUUAAAGGAGGCCACCUUGUUGAGAGGGACUGAAACAGGUCACUACGUUUGGGGAUGUGGCGCAGACAACUUGUGGAAGGGAUUCAGAAGGUUCAGGUGGAUUGGUGGAUGCAUGGUACUUCAAGAAAAAAAGCACCAAGUACAGGACACCUCUUCCUAAUUAUUGGAUUUAAAGUAUUCUUGACACUCUUUAGGGGUUCUUCAAUUGGCAUAAUGUAUGUACAAAAUUGUCUACUGCUAAUUUUUAUGGAGCCUACUCAGCUGUAGUAGACGCUAUAGACUCCCUUGACCCACGGACACCAUUUAUAUCACCUGCAGCAGGAGCACCAUGAGUUUAAAACAAAACCAAAAAAAACAUCCUGCAACAAGAGGUGUGUGGGUGCAUAGUCUCUUUCCGAAAUCUGGCAGAUUCUUUUAUUCUUAUAUAUUUUUUUUGGCUACUCUGAUUGGGUGAGUAAUUACACUUUGAACACAGAGCGUGAAUUAAAUUCUUUCAUGCAACACUGACGUCUGCAUAGAUUGAUUUUUUUUUUUUUCUCGCUAUGUUGGAUUGAAAUGAGGUAAUAUGAAGAUGGUGGCAAACUCAAGCAAAAAAAGCUGGAGGGCCCUCAUGUUCAUUUCAAGGCACCUCGUCCAAAAUGGCCACAGAACAACAAAAAGCAUUGAAGUCUUCAUCGGUGGCAUGCUCUCUCCAUUCUCACAUUUGGGACAGCACACGUUGGACACGAGCUGACAUGAGUAAAAAGCAUGGGGGGUCAACAGGGCAGUAAAGAUGAAGACAUGGUGGAGGCAGCCAGAUCCAAAUGAGUCCGUCAGGCUUUGGGGGGAAGCAGACAGCAAAGGCGGUCACGACCUUGAAGCAAUCCCGAGGUGGAAGCCAGGAAGGAAGAAUACGGCGCUUUGACCAGGUGGAGAACAGGACAUGCGAUCUCCUGAGGAGGACUAGUGUUCAGCAGCUGGCAAGUGCAAUGAAAAAAAUGUGUAAGGAAGAGUAGGCAGGAUGUGUUGGGUCUUUUUUUUUUUUUUUGUUAUCCACUCCAUGCCUAUAAUGUACAGUAUUUCUGUUCUUGUACAGGAAGCUGAGAAGGUCUGCUCCAAGGUCACCUAAAGAAAAGCAUGGAAGUCACACAAUGGGCAUUGUCGUACAGUACUUAAUGAGCUAGUCAUUGUAGAAAUCAAUUCAUUGAACACAUUGUUAUUACAAUCACUAUUUUUUGUAAUUAAAAUGUCACAAAACGUAUACCCUGAAUUAAAGAGGAUCUCAUCUCAUUUUA